This 706-nucleotide ribosomal RNA is filed under the name uncultured bacterium. RNAcentral describes it as "bacterial SSU rRNA". It matches the Rfam family "Bacterial small subunit ribosomal RNA", at positions 1 to 688 of the family's 1533-position model. The record is from RNAcentral.
CCGCGGGAUUAGAGUUUGAUCCUGGCUCACGACGAACGCUGGCGGCGCGCUUAAUACGUGCCAGUCUAGCGAGAACCAUGGCUUCUGCCCUGGGGACAGCGGCCAACGGGGUGAGUAACACGUGGGUAAUCAACCCCCGACACCGGGAUAGCCCACGGAAACUUGGAUUAAUACCGGAUGCUCCCUCUGGCUUUCAAGCCGGCUGGAAAAGGGUAUCUUCAGCCUCCGGUCGGGGACGAGCCCGCGGCGGAUUAGCUUGUUGGUGAGGUAAAGGCUCACCAAGGAGACCAUCCGUAUCUGGUCUGACAGGACGAUCAUCCACACUGGGACUGAUACACGGCCCACACUCCUACGGGAGGCAGCGGUACGGAAUCUUGCGCAAUGGGCGAAAGCCUGACACAGCGACGCCUCGUGAGGGAAGAAGGCCUUCGGCGUUGUAAACCUCUUUCAGGAGGGACGAACCCCCUCGGGUUAAUAGCCCAGAGGGUGACGGUACCUCCACAAGAAGCCCCGGCUAACUACCUGCCAUCAGCCGCGGUAAUAGGUAUGGGGCAAGCGUUGUCCGGAUUUAUUGGGCGUAAAGAGCGUGUAGGCGGCCAAACAUGUCAGCUGUGAAAACUCGAGGCUCAACCUCCAGACGUCGGAUGACACCGUUUGGCUACAGUCCGGAAGAGGAGAGUGGAAUUCCCGGUGUAGCGGUGAAAUG